Long non-coding RNA from Ficedula albicollis (Collared flycatcher), 2777 nucleotides. The record is from Ensembl. Lineage: Eukaryota; Metazoa; Chordata; Aves; Passeriformes; Muscicapidae.
CUGCAUUUGAGCUGGGGAUGGACAGAGGGAGGCAGAGGACAUUGGAGGCACUGGGAGGAAAUGGGAGCAACUGGGAGGAAAUGGGAGGAGCUGGGAGGCACUGGGAGCAACUGGGAGGGACUGGGAAGAGGUGGCAGGAACUGGGAUGCACUGGUAGACACUGGGAGAAAUUGGGAGAAUCUGGGAGAAGCUGGGAGGAACUGGGAAACACUGGGAGAAAUUGGGAGGAUCUCGGAGACACUGGGAGGAACUGGGAGGUGCUAGGAGGCACUAGGAGAAACUGGGAGGAACUGGGAGGCACUGGGAGCAACUGGGAAGAGCCGUGAGAAACUGGGAGGAAAUGGGAGGCGCUGGGAGCAACUGGGAGGCACUGGGAGAAACUGGGAAGAACUGUGAGACACGCGCUGGGAGCAACUGGGAGGCACUGGGAGAAACUGGGAAGAACUGUGAGGCACGGGGGGACACUGGGACAAACUGGGAGCAACUGGGAGGCACUGAGAGGAAAUGGGAGGCACUGGGAUGGACUGAGAGGCACUGGGAGGAGCUGGGAGACACUGGGAGGAGCUAGGAUGAACUGGGAGAAACUGGGAGGGUAAUGGGAGGUGCUGGGACAGACUGUGAGCAACUGGGAAGAGCUGGGAGGAACUGGGAAGAGCUGGGAGCAACUGGGGGAAACUGGGAGAAACUGGGAGGAAAUGGGUGGUGCUAGGAGGCACUAGGAGGAACUGGGAGCAACUGAGAGGAGAUGGGAGGCACUGGGAGGAACUGGGAGGGACUGGGAGAAGCUGGGAGGAGCUAGGAGUAGUUGGGAGGAACUGGGAGGAAAUGGGAGGAUGGACUGGGAGGUGAUGGGAGGGACUGGGAGGCGCCGGGAGAAACUGGGGGGGACUGGGAGGGACUGGGAGGAAUUGGGGGCGAGGGAACAAGAGGGGUUUGGUGGCUCCGUGGCCGUGGGCGAGGACAGGGGGGUCCCACUGGUGUCACUGGUGUGCGGGGUGUCCCCGGGGUGUCCCCCGGGGUCCCACUGGUGUCACUGGUGUGCGGGGUGUCCCCGGGGUGUCCCCCGGGGUCCCACAGGUGUGGCAGGUAUUUGGGGUGUCCCUGGUGUCAUUGGGGGUCCCACAGGUGCCCCAGGAAUGUGGGGUGUCCCUGGCGUCCCUGGGGUGUCCCUGGGUGUCCCGGGGUGUCCCAAGAUGUCCCAGGGUGUCCUGGGGUGUCCCAGGAUGUCCCGAGGUGUCCCCGGGGUGUCCUGGGGUGUCCCGGGAUUGUUUCAGGGGUGUCCCGGAGUGUCCCGAGGUGUCCCAGGGUGUCCCAAGAUGUCUCGGGGUGUCCUGGGGUGUCCCAGGAUGUCCUGGGUGCGUCCCAGGAUGUCCCGAGGUGUCCCGGGGGUGUCCUGGGGUGUCCCGGGAUUGUUCAGGGCUGUCCCAGGGUGUCCCAAGAUGUCCUGGGGAUAUCCUGGAGUGUCCCGGCAUGUCCUGGGUGUGUCCCAGGAUGUCCCAAGGUGUCCUGGGGGUGUCCUGGGGGUGUUUUGGGGUGUUGGGGCGCCCCCCCCCCCCCCCCCCCCCCCCCCCCCCCCCCCCCCCCCCCCCCCCCCCCCCCCCCCCCCCCCCCCCCCCCCCCCCCCCCCCCCCCCCCCCCCCCCCCCCCCCCCCCCCCCCCCCCCCCCCCCCCCCCCCCCCCCCCCCCCCCCCCGCCGCUGCUGGCAGCUGAGCCCUCACCUUUCCCAGGGAUUCGCUGUCAGGGUGAACAGACCCCAGCAUGAGCUGCCAGGGGUGGAAAAAGCCGUAAAAACCGGGGAAAACCCCGAAGUGGGGUUUCCUAAAGGGACCUGGGGACACACCCAGAGCUGGGGACAGCCGCCACCACCAGGACUGGCACUGCCACCCUGGGAAUGUCCCAGAGCAUCCCGGGGAGCUGAUCGCGGGAUGGACCCAGAGCUCACCCCCCGGAGCCCCCACACCCCCCGAAGGCAACCCCAGGUUCGGGAUCUCCAUCCCGGGGGGAGGGGACACCACCCUCCGCAGCCAGGGGACCUGGGGAGGGUGUCCCAGAGUCCCCUGUCCCCGGGUCCAGCCUUGGCCAGCUGCCCUCACAUGCCAGCAAUGCCCACGGGGACCUCCUGCCAUCCUGCCAGGACCUGGCACACCUCGGGAUGGGGAGCAGGAAACGGAGCAACGGGAAAAACGGGAGGAGCUGAGCUGUGCCCCGGCUGGCAGGUCUGGGACACGGGUGACACCACUUUGGGAUUGUCCCCUGGCUGCGGGAAGGUUUGGGACACGGGAGACACCACCUUGGGAUUGUCCCCUAGCUGCGGGAAGGUUUGGGACAUGAGUGACACCACCCUGGGAUUGUCCCCUGGCUGCUGGCAAGUUUGGGACACGGGUGACACCACCCUGGCAUUGUCCCCUGGCUGCGGGAAGGUUUGGGACAUGAGUGACACCACUUUGGGAAUGUCCCCUGGCUGCGGGAAGGUCUGGGACAUGAGUGACAUCACCUUGGGAAUGUCCCCUGGCUGCUGGCAGGUUUGGGACACGGGUGACACCACCCUGGCAUUGUCCCCUGGCUGCGGGAAGGUUUGGGACACGGGAGACACCACCUUGGGAUUGUCCCCUAGCUGCGGGAAGGUUUGGGACAUGAGUGACACCACCCUGGUGGCUGCUGGCAGGUCUGGGACACGGGUGAUACCACUUUGGGAUUGUCCCCUGGCUGCGGGAAGGUUUGGGACACGGGUGACACCACCCUGGGAUUGUCCCCUGGUUUGUCUCCCGGCUGGCUGA